RNAcentral lists this ribosomal RNA (352 nucleotides) under uncultured bacterium. Its description in RNAcentral is "bacterial SSU rRNA". It matches the Rfam family "Bacterial small subunit ribosomal RNA", at positions 29 to 412 of the family's 1533-position model. The record is from RNAcentral.
AACGAACGCUGGCGGCAUGCCUAACACAUGCAAGUCGAACGAGACCUUCGGGUCUAGUGGCGCACGGGUGCGUAACGCGUGGGAACCUGCCUUUAGGUUCGGAAUAACUCAGAGAAAUUUGAGCUAAUACCGGAUGAUGUCUUCGGACCAAAGAUUUAUCGCCUUUAGAUGGGCCCGCGUAAGAUUAGCUAGUUGGUGGGUAAAGCCUACCAAGGCGACGAUCUUUAGCUGGUCUGAGAGGAUGAUCAGCCACACUGGGACUGAGACACGGCCAGACUCCUACGGAGGCAGCAGUGGGGAAUAUUGGACAAUGGGCGAAAGCCUGAUCCAGCAAUGCCGCGUGAGUGAUGAA